CCUACGGGUGGCUGCAGUGAGGAAUAUUGGUCAAUGGGCGGGAGCCUGAACCAGCCAAGUCGCGUGAGGGAAGACGGUCCUAUGGAUUGUAAACCUCUUUAGUCGGGGAGCAAUGCCGGGCACGCGUGCCCGGCGGGAGAGUACCCGCAGACUAAGCAUCGGCUAACUCCGUGCCAGCAGCCGCGGUAAUACGGGGGAUGCGAGCGUUAUCCGGAUUGUUUGGGUUUAAAGGGUGCGUGGGCGGAGUUUUAAGUCAGCGGUAAAAUGUCCGGGCUCAACCCGGGCCGGCCGUUGAAACUGGGGGUCUGGAGUGGGCGAGAGGUAGGCGGAAUGCGUGGUGUAGCGGUGAAAUGCAUAGAUAUCACGCAGAACUCCGAUUGCGAAGGCAGCAUACCGGCGCCCGACUGACGCUGAGGCACGAAAGCGUGGGGAUCGAACAGGAUUAGAUACCCUGGUAGUC
RNAcentral lists this ribosomal RNA (460 nucleotides) under uncultured bacterium. RNAcentral describes it as "partial 16S ribosomal RNA". It matches the Rfam family "Bacterial small subunit ribosomal RNA", at positions 338 to 795 of the family's 1533-position model. The record is from RNAcentral.